GAGGGGAAAUGGAGAACAGAUUGAAGAGGCAAGGAGCAGAUACUAAGUCAAUUAUGAGGCUGAGGUGUUUUGGCUGAAAGAGGGAGCUGCAGAGUGUAUAGCAGGGCACUUGGUCCUUCAGGGCACCGGGUCAAAAUGAUGCUAGGAAGGAGUCUGCAUAACUAACAUGUUUGUGGCACAUUCCCUCUGCCUCCAGCUUCAGGAACUGUCAGAUGCUGACCUUGUAAUGUGAUCCAUCCCUCAAUUCCUUAUGACUCCCUCACUGAUCUGGAGCUCAUGUGAUUGGGAAUGUCAUCAGAAAGAAAGAGCAGCCCAGAUUUGCAGGGUCUUGGAGACAGUGAAGCCAUAAGAAGGGGCUGAGGCAACCACAAAUGAUUCUUGAUGUCAGUGGGGCACGAAGGUGUUCAUGAAGAUCUUUUUAGGGAUGGGAAGUGAUUUUAAGUAAAUCACCUGUUAUUUCUGACCUGACAAGAGUGUUUGAAAUGUUAUAUGGAGGAAUUGCAAAUUAAUUUUGACUGAUUUUCAGUUUGGCUGUGGGUGGGAUUACACACUGAAAAACAUGUCAUCCCCCAGUGUUAAUAAAAUUCUUCAUAUAUUAGUAUCCA
RNAcentral lists this long non-coding RNA (605 nucleotides) under Anas platyrhynchos platyrhynchos (common mallard). RNAcentral describes it as "lncRNA (ENSAPLG00000021982.1)". Lineage: Eukaryota; Metazoa; Chordata; Aves; Anseriformes; Anatidae. The record is from RNAcentral.